GAAUUGAAAGGACCUGAGAGAAUUUUCCCUUAGAUGACAAGCUCUUGGAAAGUUGGCCACUUCUAAAGUGUAGGUACUGGAAAACAUAGAAGAUCCUGCAGAUAACUUGCAACAGCUGAAAGAGCAAUCAGUGUGUGAAUCUGGAAGACAGUUGGAGGAUGGGAAUCGCGGUCUGAUUCACAACCACAUCGCUGCAGACGUGUUCCAAGUGUUGCUCUGUCAUCGGGCGAAGGUAUCCAGGGCAGGUUUGUCUAGAUGGGUGCUGCAUGCACAGCUUUGACUGCUGUUCCCCAUCAGUCUGUAAGUAGAUGGAGCAACCAGCACACGUCCAGUUUUCACUUGCACUGCCAUAACUUUGCUUGGUGCUGCUUGUGCCUAUGAAGGUAUUUGUACAGAAAUUAUAUGCUUUCCUGGGUAUUUAUGGUAAGACUUCAUUUUAAUCUCUCUUGAGCUUCAUGACACAAACCAGUAUGCUCUUGACCUGCAUGAAUUCAGGCUGCUAGCCUGCUUUGUUUUUCUUCCUCAGGAUCUGGCAGUAUUCACCCAGUUCAACAAUAGGGAAUGGCAGUCGGACUGUUUUUAGUUCUUCAGCUAAGACCAUGUUGUGCAAGAUGCGAGUGUUGUACAGAGAUGUCGUCCAGCACGAUAUUUAUACUUUGGAAAUAAGUGCUUUCACUAGCUGUUGAGAAUCAUGUCUGACAACGGAGAACUGGAAGACAAGCCACCAGCUCCUCCCGUCCGGAUGAGCAGUGCUAUCUUCAGUGCAGGGGGCAAAGACCAGUUGUCUGCCAACCACAGCUUGAAACCCUUGCCCUCCGUACCAGAAGAGAGAAAACCUAGGAAUAAAAUCAUCUCCAUAUUCUCUAGCACUGAAAAAGGAAGCAAGAAGAAGGAAAAGGAACGGCCAGAGAUCUCCCCACCAUCUGAUUUUGAGCAUACCAUCCACGUUGGCUUCGAUGCUGUUACUGGAGAGUUCACUGGAAUGCCAGAACAAUGGGCUCGAUUGCUUCAGACCUCAAAUAUCACGAAGCUAGAACAGAAGAAAAACCCCCAGGCGGUACUAGAUGUGCUGAAAUUCUAUGACUCCAAAGACACAGCAAAACAGAAGUAUCUGAGUUUUUCUGCUCCAGAAAAAGAUGGUUUCCCUUCAGGAACACCAACGACCAAUGCCAAAGGUUCAGAACCAUCAACAGCUGUGGCAGAUGAUGAUGAGGAUGAUGAAGAAGCUCCUCCUCCUGUUAUUGCUCCACGGCCAGAUCACACAAAAUCGAUUUAUACACGGUCUGUAAUCGACCCCAUUCCUGCACCAGCCAGUGACACUUCUGUUGACAGCGCAGCAAAAUCAGGUGAUAAGCAGAAAAAGAAGACCAAAAUGUCGGAUGAAGAGAUCAUGGAAAAACUACGCACUAUUGUGAGCAUAGGAGAUCCCAAGAAAAAAUAUACCAGAUACGAAAAAAUCGGGCAAGGGGCUUCAGGUACAGUUUUCACAGCUAUUGAUGUGGCAACGGGGCAGGAGGUUGCUAUCAAACAGAUAAACCUGCAGAAACAGCCCAAGAAGGAGUUGAUUAUUAAUGAGAUCUUGGUAAUGAAGGAGCUGAAGAACCCCAACAUAGUCAACUUCCUGGACAGUUACCUUGUAGGAGAUGAAUUGUUCGUGGUGAUGGAGUAUCUAGCUGGAGGCUCACUAACGGAUGUGGUCACAGAAACAUGUAUGGAUGAAGCACAGAUUGCUGCUGUUUGCAGGGAGUGCUUGCAAGCGCUUGAGUUCCUUCACGCCAACCAGGUCAUCCACAGAGACAUUAAGAGUGACAAUGUGCUGUUAGGAAUGGAUGGAUCAGUUAAACUAACCGACUUUGGUUUCUGUGCUCAGAUCACUCCAGAGCAGAGUAAGCGCAGCACUAUGGUUGGAACUCCUUACUGGAUGGCUCCUGAAGUGGUCACACGGAAAGCCUAUGGCCCCAAAGUGGAUAUCUGGUCUCUGGGCAUCAUGGCUAUUGAGAUGGUGGAAGGAGAACCCCCGUACCUCAACGAAAACCCCCUGAGGGCUUUAUAUUUGAUAGCAACUAACGGCACACCAGAGCUGCAGAACCCCGAGAAACUGUCCCCAAUAUUCCGGGAUUUCUUGAACCGGUGUUUGGAGAUGGAUGUAGAGAAGAGAGGAUCAGCCAAAGAAUUGCUACAGCAUCCCUUCUUGAAACUGGCCAAACCUCUUUCUAGCUUGACGCCACUGAUCUUGGCAGCCAAAGAAGCAAUGAAGAGUAACCGCUAACAUUACUGCCACAGCCUUCAUCUUUUUUUUUGUUUGUUUGUAUUUUACAAAUCUUUAUAAUAUAUGAAAUUGUUACACUUCUGGGGGGAGGGAAGGGAUUUUGGGGGGGGGGGGAAACAUCUGCAAAAGGGAAGAAACUCUCAUCCAGAAGACACCCAAAAUAAAUUGUGGUGAUUCUAUGGAUCCCUGUCUGGGGUCUGGAAGGAAUUGAGGACUGAAUUACUGGCCUUUUUUUUUUUUUUUUUUGGUUCCCCAGACAGCCCAGAAAUGCCACUUACUGUGCUUGGGGUUUUAAGGGUUUUUAAUGACUUCGCUGUAACAGCUCCCAUUCAUUGUACCCUUCUGGGUACUUUCAAUACUUGAAUGACAGAUUCAAGCUUUCAGAGAGCAGUACUAAUUUUACCUGCUGAUAUCUUUCACUCUCCUCUUCCUCUCCUCUAUCUGUUGACUUUUAGAUGGCUCUAGUAAGCUCCUGUAUGACUAGAUUCACGGCAAGUGUGACACAUGUGAAGGUACAUCUUGCCCCUCACUUCUCUUCUGGAUCAGCUGUUACUGUACUGUAGAAUUGACCAACUUGGCUACUUACAAAAUCUUAAUGUAUCGAGAUGUGUUUUGCUUUUUAAGAUGAAUAUGGAGCGAGGGGGAAGAAGAAGUAUUCGGCUCUUUCAUACGCCUGUGCUCUGUGGACUUUUAAUCAAAGAUGCGGCCCCUUUGUUGAAACUUAAUGAUUGGUCAAGUCUUUGGGCAUCCAUUUAUGGAUAUGUAGGUAGGGGUCAGAUACUUUAUUUAUGAUCAAAUGAUCAGCUAUAGUCAGGGCAAGAAAAAAAACUAGCUGUCUUCCUAUCUGCUCUUUUUUUUCCUGUUAGACUUGCUGGCCAGAAGCUUAAGGGAUAACGUGCUUGGUGCAGUGGGUGGUUCAAAAACACGUAUUAUAUCUGUGCUCUGACUUGGGCUUUGGAAGUUAUGCUGGUGCCUUUGACUUUUUUAUUUUACGUUUCCCUUCUUUGUAUCAAAUACAUUUUUGUAUAUGUUGUAAUUUUUUUUUUCCCAUAGCAAAUAAUGCCUCAACCUAUGGAGUUGUCAGAAUUUAAGUAUUAGAGCUAUUUUUUCCUAUUUUGUAUGUGCUCCAUUUGUACUAAUGAAAUCAGAAGAACAAAUAAUCAGAUCUGAGGACACUGAAGAUAGAGGAUUUUUUAAAUAUGAUUCAAACAGAAGAUGAUGAACACCUGGAAAUGCCAAAGCGCUGUUCUGAGAUGGCAAAGGCGGAGAGGGGAGAACAGUGCCAUCAGACGUUCAUGGGGCUUCUUUGACCAACUGGUUCCAGGCUGAGGAGAUGCGAUGUGUCGCACCGAUCCUUUUGCGCUCUUAAAGACAUUGGACCAGCUAGAAUGGCUGAAGUCAAACAUUCAAUGCAAGAAAAAGUGCGUCCCUCUGAAGGACAGUGAGCAACUUGAGCGGUUAUGUUCUUGGGAUGUUACCGGGGGCAAGUGUAGAGGAGCCCGUGCCUUGGCUUCUUCUAGUGCUACAGUCUAUGCAUUUCAACUUCCCCGACAGUUUAACGAAGAGCCAACUGUAGUUGCGAUGUGCCAAACGGUUCUGUGAAAGAACAACCAUUACUUUAGUGGAAUUUGGUUGUAUUCCCAGUGGGGCGGGACCUGGGACGGAUAGGGUGAUGGUUGGAGGACCCUGAAUAAAAAUGUUUUGCACACUUUUACAAGCAUUGCUGGCAGAAGAUAGAAGUCAUUUUCAGAUAAUUUCGGUAUUUGUAUAGUGGUAGAGGUAUCUAUGUUUUGGGGACUGGUAGCCGAGGUAUGACAAAACCAACUUCCAGCUGAGAGCGGCAGGCCAGAAGAGCAGAGGCUGUUUGUGGGGACGAUGGAGGGGAAGCAGGGCCAGGGUCUCGCAGCCUCUGCUGCGACUCACUAGCUUCUAGGAAAUGGCAUGGUACCACCAAGAUGCAGCUCUGUGCAGGGUGCUGUGGUUACGGCUGUUCAGCUUCCAUUCCGCUCCGGCAUGGUAGUAAAAAUCUAUGUCUGGUAAAUGAUGUUAACUGCUCCAUCAGAGGAAUAAAUCCCUCUAACUGUAAGUGUAAGAAUAGUUACGGUUUUAAAUUCGAGGCAGUGUCUCAUUCCAGGUGAGUAAAUCGAGAUGCGUUUCACAGGCAAAAUGUAUUCCGAGCCGUGGACACCGUAAGCCCUGUGAUGGCAAUGCCCCCGGCUCGCGUCCGUCUGGCUCCCCAGUCGAAUGAAGCAGCAAGGAGGCAUGGCUGAGGAAAAAACCCCAGCCUGUCGUACUGAUGAUUCCCUCUUUGUCCAUUGCUGGCAAUGGACUUGGUGAAACUCCUUGUGCCAGAGUUAAACUGGGAGCUUUUCUUUCUUCUUUCUUUUUUUUUUAUCGCUUUUUUUUUUUUCAUUUCUGGAUGGCACAAUCUAGACAAUAAGAUAACUUGCAAUAAAUAUAGGUUUUUUUUAAAAUAGAAAACCCAUGAAAUCAUAAGUAAUUUUAACUUAUUACUUCACUUUUAUUGAUGAACAAAAAUGGUUUAAAACAUAUAUUAGAAAAUCUGUCCAAUUUAGUCUACUUAGGAGAUGAUUUCCAAACUUUUCAGCCGUCUUAGCUUACAAAACUUGGCCCAGUCCAGAGGUUACCAAAACGUGUCUCGGCGCUUGCUACGUGGCCCAGAAUGCUGUUUAGCUCUGACGUCGAGAAGUGUCUGCAUCUCCCCUUCCCCAUGCAGCAGUUUUACGUGGUGAGGAUUCUCACCCCCUGCUGCCAGAAAUCGGGGCCAGAGAUGGAGGCUGGCAGGAGAAGAGAGCCAGGAGGAGGUUGCCAUACCAUGCUUUUGUAUUUUAGGGGCUUUUCUAACGGUGUCAGCAAGAUUAAAAAAUGCAAGCCAUGUUUUUUUCCCCCUGAAGGGAGCAGGUUAGUGUCUUUCGGACUUGCUGCAGGGCUGUUCUGCACUGCUGUGUCACUAGGGCAGACGGAGACAAGCCAGAGUUUGAGUAGACGAUGAUAAGGAAGGGAUUGUGUCUGAAAGUGCUGGGAUUUGCUCUCUCUUGGGUGCCAGUGUAAGAUCCCGAGUCAGAUUCUAACCAAAUACUCACGGGGAUACAUACGAUGGCGUGGUUAAUUGGGUCUGUGGAGCCAGGCACCUUAGGGCUUGAGUUGUGAGCUUGUAGGGAAUGUGCGACUCCUGGGAUUUUUCUUGUUAUCAUAGAAUAAACCAGACUUUCCAUUGAAAGCAACUGCGGUGCUGGGAAUGUGCGCUUUGACCUGCCUUAGGUGUUAACGAGACUAAUUGUAGGCUUCCCGCUCCCCCCCUCCGCCCCCUGGCUCUCUGGUGCAGGGAGGUGCAAAAGGUUUGGCUAGAGGAGGCGGGAGAGGCUGGGUGCCUUUGCCAGAGGGGAUGGUGGGUGGGCCGGGGUGGGGGCAAGAAGGUCAUUAAGGGUCUCUCCAGCUGGAGUUGGAUAGAUAAACGUCUCUGGUCCGUUUUUCCCCCUCUGGUCCUCAUGCUGUCAAUGGAAAUGGAAGUAGGUGCAAGCUUGCUUUUUUAUUUUUUUAACUGUCUUCAGAUUUUAAUGUUGCCUUUUUGUGUAAUUUAAUCCCAUCAUGUUAUUUAAUUGUUACUGCAAUAUUAACUACUGUAUUUGUUGACUUUGUUUAAUAACUGUUCUUUCAGGGCUAGAAAUAAACUUUUAAAAAACAUUUGGAUUUUUUUCCCCCCCUUCCCCGCCACAAGUUUAUACCUUUUAAGAGUAGCUGAACAGAGUACACGUUCAGAUGUCUUAAUGAGAUUAACAGAAUGUAUUUGUAAUUAAGCUUCUUAUGAAUGCUUUAAUUAUGAUGGAUAUCAUUUUAUGCUAUACUAGCCUGUCCUGUUUCUUCUAAAAUGUUAUUACUCAUCAGCAUCUGUACCAACCUCGUGAUAACGGCAAGCUUUCCUCGCCACCGCGUGCCACUGGCAGAUGCUUGUGCGGUCCCGCAAAGUGCUCCAGAUCACUGACCGGAGGAGAGAGCUCUGAAAUGCCCUUCUCACCCACCGUGGAAGAGAAAUCCCUUGCCCCUGCAAAGGGAGCAAAGCAAAGACCAGCCUAGUCCUUCACAGUUAUUUCUUCCACCUUUGCUGUAAGGUCGCCUUUUGGUAGUGACUGGGGUGGGACUGAUGGGCCAGUAAACCAUGAUCAUGGCAAUAUGACAAUGUUCCAGUAAUGAUUCCAAACAAGACUGCUUUAUUUUGCACCGUCAAUAGUGUCUGGAAUCCUGUAUAUAAAUGUUACGGCAUGGGAGAUGCGGGGAAUGAGCUGUCCUGCUGCCCACUUGGAAGACGCCGCUCCUGGUUCUGCGCCAUCCCCCCUGAUCGGCGUUGGUCCGACAGAGCCGAACAGGGCAAGGACGCUGGGUGUCACAGCUCGCCUGGGACUUGGGGUGAGAGCGAUGGUGCCCAUUGGUAGGCUGCAGAGACUUGUGUUUUUCAUCAAAACUGCAAAAACUGCUGCGGUGUGUUGACGCGGCAGCCUAGCUGAAGAAAAGGACAUCUAUAAACAAAUUUACUUUGGGGUUGAGACCGGUUCAGUGGAAAUCUGGAUGAAGUUUCUGUCUCGGUUGUGAAUGUCAAGGACUCGUUGUGUUGUGUGUUUCCCAUGUGUUAUUGGGAAAGCAUCUCUGCCCCUUUCUUGCAUGUUGUACAAGCUUUGCUCAUACCACUGACAAAGGGAAAUGAAGAAACCACUCGUCUUCGGAAGCCUUUUCAACCAGACGUGAGAAUGUUGUUUUGCACAAAGCACUGUCUCUUCAGGACACUAAAAGGCCACCAGACUUCUGCUUUGGAGAAGAUGUGUUGAGUUGGUAGAGAGGAGGAUGAGACUGGGAUAGCAGAGAGCGUUUCAAUGCAUGCGCUCCAGUUUCUGGUGUCUUCUGAAGGUUUUGUGAAUAUGGGAUCUGGUUCACUAUGACCACGGGUCAACAGAGAUGAUGCUGGUGCAACUCAAGACGUCUCCACAGGGAUGUUCUGGAUGGGGAAUGGGGCUGAUCUUCCCAAGGACAGAUGUCCCCCUUGAAUUCAAGGUUUCCAGUGCCGAGGAUGAUCCAUCUUUGUUUUUUCCUCCCAGCAAAUGCUUGUUCUAAGGAUUCGGGUCUUUUCUUGUGAAGCCCAAUUAACUCAUGCCUCUCCUUGAGCCCUUUUGGUCUGGCUGCUGGUGGGAGCAAAGCUGCUGCCGGGUUUCUGCUGCCUUGUUGUAGCAGCUGACAACGGGGCUGCUCUUGGAAAGCUCUCACCCACUCCCCUGCCCAGUAAAACUCUUAUUAAAUAACCUUACGACCGUGUUCAGCUUUAGCUGUUGCCUGUUUGGGCGAAA
Egretta garzetta (little egret) is the source of this 7623-nucleotide RNA transcript. It is a transcript of the gene named p21 (RAC1) activated kinase 2, with no coding region annotated. The transcript has 17 exons. The record is from RefSeq and is a predicted model, not a curated record. Lineage: Eukaryota; Metazoa; Chordata; Aves; Pelecaniformes; Ardeidae.